This 1016-nucleotide ribosomal RNA is filed under the name uncultured bacterium. RNAcentral describes it as "bacterial SSU rRNA". It matches the Rfam family "Bacterial small subunit ribosomal RNA", at positions 357 to 1376 of the family's 1533-position model. The record is from RNAcentral.
AGGAAUAUUGGUCAAUGGACGAGAGUCUGAACCAGCCAAGUAGCGUGAAGGAUGAAGGUCCUACGGAUUGUAAACUUCUUUUAUAAGGGAAUAAACCCUCCCACGUGUGGGAGCUUGUAUGUACCUUAUGAAUAAGCAUCGGCUAACUCCGUGCCAGCAGCCGCGGUAAUACGGAGGAUGCGAGCGUUAUCCGGAUUUAUUGGGUUUAAAGGGAGCGCAGACGGGUCGUUAAGUCAGCUGUGAAAGUUUGGGGCUCAACCUUAAAAUUGCAGUUGAUACUGGUAGUCUUGAGUGCAGCAGAGGUAGGCGGAAUUCGUGGUGUAGCGGUGAAAUGCUUAGAUAUCACGAAGAACUCCGAUUGCGAAGGCAGCACACUAAUCCGUAACUGACGUUCAUGCUCGAAAGUGUGGGUAUCAAACAGGAUUAGAUACCCUGGUAGUCCACACGGUAAACGAUGGAUACUCGCUGUUGGCGAUAUACAGUCAGCGGCUUAGCGAAAGCGUUAAGUAUCCCACCUGGGGAGUACGCCGGCAACGGUGAAACUCAAAGGAAUUGACGGGGGCCCGCACAAGCGGAGGAACAUGUGGUUUAAUUCGAUGAUACGCGAGGAACCUUACCCGGGCUUAAAUUGCAAAGGAAUAAUCUGGAAACAGAUUAGUCUUCGGACCUUUGUGAAGGUGCUGCAUGGUUGUCGUCAGCUCGUGCCGUGAGGUGUCGGCUUAAGUGCCAUAACGAGCGCAACCCUCGCCGCCAGUUACUAACAGGUAAUGCUGAGGACUCUGGCGGGACUGCCAUCGUAAGAUGUGAGGAAGGUGGGGAUGACGUCAAAUCAGCACGGCCCUUACGUCCGGGGCUACACACGUGUUACAAUGGGCGGUACAGAAGGCAGCUACCUGGCGACAGGAUGCCAAUCCCUAAAGCCGCUCUCAGUUCGGACUGGAGUCUGCAACCCGACUCCACGAAGCUGGAUUCGCUAGUAAUCGCGCAUCAGCCACGGCGCGGUGAAUACGUUCCCG